GAUGAACGCUAGCUACAGGCUUAACACAUGCAAGUCGAGGGGAAACGACAUCGAAAGCUUGCUUUUGAUGGGCGUCGACCGGCGCACGGGUGAGUAACGCGUAUCCAACCUGCCCACCACUUGGGGAUAACCUUGCGAAGUAAGACUAAUACCCAAUGAUAUCUCUAGAAGACAUCUGAAAGAGAUUAAAGAUUUAUCGGUGAUGGAUGGGGAUGCGUCUGAUUAGGUUGUUGGCGGGGUAACGGCUCACCAAGGCGACGAUCAGUAGGGGUUUUGAGAGGAAGGUCCCCCACAUUGGAACUGAGACACGGUCCAAACUCCUACGGGAGGCAGCAGUGAGGAAUAUUGGUCAAUGGGCGAGAGCCUGAACCAGCCAAGUAGCGUGCAGGAUGACGGCCCUAUGGGUUGUAAACUGCUUUUAUAAGGGAAUAAAGUGAGUCUCGUGAGACUUUUUGCAUGUACCUUAUGAAUAAGGACCGGCUAAUUCCGUGCCAGCCGCCGCAGUAA
RNAcentral lists this ribosomal RNA (507 nucleotides) under uncultured bacterium. Its description in RNAcentral is "partial 16S ribosomal RNA". It matches the Rfam family "Bacterial small subunit ribosomal RNA", at positions 28 to 523 of the family's 1533-position model. The record is from RNAcentral.